AAAUUGUUCUACAACAGAUUCCAUGAUUUUGAUGAUAACAAAGGAUGAAACCAAAAAUGGCACCCUAACGAAAAGUUUCUAAGUGUGCAGGAUUCUAAGGAAAGAAGGAAGAGAUCUGAUGACGUCAUCAGAUACAAAAUCAUAUCAGAUACAAAUUAUCAGAAGAUCAGAAGCAUCUGAAGUAGAAACACGCUCAAGAAGUUCUAACUCUGAGCAAAUCAGCAGAAUAUCAGAAGCAUCUAUAGAAGAAGUGCACUCUAGAAGUUCUGACUCUGAACAACGGUAUAUCAUUCUAGAAGCUCUCAGCGUCAUCUGAAGACAUCAUCAGAACUCCUUAAGAUAAACAUCAGAAGCUCCGAAUCAACACAGCAAGAUUCCAAGAUUCCCAGAGUCACGCAGACUUUGAUAAUGGAUUUCCUAAUACAGAAAGAGUAACGUUAACUUCAAAUUCAAAUGGAAAGGAACUAUAUUUGGAAAGAAGUUAUUCGGGGAGACAAAGUUGUUUUGGCAAGAAACAACAGAAGUUAUGGCAUUAAUUCCUAUUCAAGACAAAUUAUCUGCCAUCAAUUUCAACGGUCCUUUCACUCCUAUAUAAAGGACAN
RNAcentral lists this long non-coding RNA (602 nucleotides) under Lathyrus oleraceus (garden pea). Its description in RNAcentral is "Pisum sativum (pea) long non-coding RNA (PSAT_LNC001698)". Lineage: Eukaryota; Viridiplantae; Streptophyta; Magnoliopsida; Fabales; Fabaceae. The record is from RNAcentral.